Non-coding RNA from Pelobates cultripes (western spadefoot toad), 651 nucleotides. Lineage: Eukaryota; Metazoa; Chordata; Amphibia; Anura; Pelobatidae. The record is from the annotation of a GenBank genome assembly.
CUCUCAGCUGGUGUCCUCUCCUUUUAAAAUGACUUCUACCUCUUUACUUGUCCUUCAAAAGGGUUCUGCACUCUUCCAUAAAAAAAAAUUAUACGUAUGAUAAAAUAGUUCUUAUUCAAUAAGCAGUUUGUAAUAGGAUAUUUCUGUCACUUUAUAUUAUUACAGGCCGCAAAAGAGUGAAUUCAGAAACAGUGAGCACACAACCUGGUCUUCACGGUCUGGCAUCCAUCUGAUGAACUGGAGGACUCUACCCCUUUUUAUGCUUUACUAUCAUGAGAGGAAUAUAACACAGCCCAGGAAGAAUUAAUGCAUUCUCCACCCCUUCCAUACAACGUGACAGCUUGCUAUUUAUAGCCAAAUGCACUGAGCAUUAAACCUGCUCACCUGUUUCUUAGAGUAACUGGUGUAUUUAAUCCAAUCUGGUUGAUUCGCUAAAAUGAGAAUCGUCAGGAAUUCAAAGUGAAUUUUAAAUUUUAGAUCACAUUAACCAAACUGGAAAAAUGCAAACUAUGUUUUCAAGUCAGCUGUUUUGGACUCAAAUAUCGCAUUUACUAUGAAUCUGCCAAUUCAUACUUUAGUGACUAGCCCCAUAUCUGCAAACGUGUACCUGUCAUGGUACACAAAAUGUAUAUUCAUUUUGAAGAGUGUAGC